ACCUACAAGAGCAUGUUAGAUUAUAUUUCCAGGUUACAAAGCCACUUGAAAAUGGGCUCUCAAUGGAAAGAGUAAAUCAAACUAUAAGUGUGAUACACUUCCUUUGAUGGUGGUAUUUAUCAUUUGUCGAUGAUUUUAACAAACACUAGGUGGCAUAGUGAUUGCUUUAUACUAAAGGGGUAAAGGAGAAAAUGGUUUCUCUCAGUGGCACGGAUAACAUCAUCCAUCAAUGCUGUGGCAUGAUGACAUCAUUUUCUGAAAUUACCCCAUUUCUUAACAGAUCAAAAUACCCUUUUUUCACUAAAGAUCUUUAAUGUGCCUCAGCAUUAUGGGUUCACCUAAACAUAAUUUAUUAAAACUUCUAUUUACAGAAUAAUUUUCUUUCUUGCAUUUUUUCUCACCUUUCACUUUAUUUUAAUAGAAGAAGCUGAAAUUGAACACUGCAUAAUUAAGUAGGAGGGAGAAUUUUAUAUUCUUCAAACUGGAUUGACACAAAGUAUUCCAUAUGCUACAAAAAUUAAUAUGAUGUAGCCUUGAGCCAUUUCUCUACUAGCUGCAUAUUGCUUCUAGCUCCUCAUUCUCAUGUCAUUAAUUGGUCCCAAAUCUUAUUUGAGCUCUCUCAAUGCUCCCAUCGGCUAAGUUUUUUCUUAACCAUAACAAUAUAUCAUUCUAUUUUUACAGUGCAUGGCUCAUUUAGAGAAUCACUGAGGUCUUAAUUAAUGGGUUAUGAUUAAAGUAUUCAGCUUCAAAAUCCAUGAUUUUGGACAAGAAAUAAACUUACCCAGUGGGAUAGUAGGAAGAACAGUGGGUCUGGAUGUCCAUUGUGCCACAUGGCAUUGAUCUGCUCAAUUCAUUCGCCUGGGUCUGUUUCCUUCAUUCGACCUUUUACUAAACAGAUAUUUAUGGACCUACUUAGUGACCAGCUUUGUGCUGACACUAGGAAUACAGUGGUAAACACCAUAUCACAUCCUUAUGGCGAGGUGUUCGAAGUGAGACUGGAAAGAUGUUCAAGAAUUAGUGGAGUGGAGAGUGGGGGAGUGUUUGAGAAAAGGUCAAGUUCAGCGGUGCUGAGGAAAGGAACUGGUAUAAAAUGGAGACACCUGAUUUAGAAUGAAAGAGGAAGAUAAGAAAACAGGCACACCUUGUAAAUAGUAGAAUUGAACAAAGUAACUCAUCAGAUUUUUCCAGUUCUAAACGCGUAUAUAAUUGGUUAGCAAUGGAAUCAGGGCAUCUUGGCUUCACCAUUGAUUACAGGUAUGAUCAUAGGCAAAUUCUUAGUGUUUCUUAAUCUCAAUGUCCCAAUCUAUAGACUAGUGAUAUAUUCUAGUGAGAUACAUACACACACACACACAUAAUGAUGUAUGUAUGUAUGUGUGUGUAUGUAUAUAUGGAAAUAUACAUAGGGAUGUACAGUGAUAUGUAUAUGUCCCAAUCUAUAGAAUAGUGAUAGAUAGGUGGAUAGAUAGACAGACAGACCUACCCCAAGAUUAUUCUGGAGCUAAGAUAAAAUAAUGUAUUAAAAGCCUGGGUCUGAUAUACUUGAAGUAUUCUGUAUAUAAAUGAUAAUGAUUAUCAUUAGCCUAUCCUUUGCCCUUCUUGAAGAAGCUCCUGCAUCUUUUAUCUGAUUUUAUUCCAACAAAAGCCCUAGGAGAGAUUUAUGAGAUGUAUGACAGUAGAUUAUUUCUGUUUUACAAACGAGAGAGCUUCAACUCAAAGAGUAGCAUAGGAAAUGAAUGGAAGAAAACAGUCUCCUGGCUUCCUGUUCAAACUUCCUUUUCCCAUCACACAAUAGCCCUUCUGACCACUUCAGCUUCCCUUCAAACAAAGAAGGAAUCUUAACACACAAUGGGGAUUUGUCCAGAUUUGUUCACCUUACAGCUUCAGAUUUCAGGUUUUCCUUUGGGUUUUUUCCUAUUAUUCCAACAGAUCGAUUUUACACUGAAGCAAUUCCUCUCCUGCUAAGGCUUCUUUUGGGAGUGUUAUGGUUAUGAAUGUCCUGUCAAUCAAUGACUUGUUAAAAUGAAUACCACUAAAUGCUUUUAAUCAUUUUUAUGUGCACCAUCCUCUCUUCUCUGUCAUCCUCCCAUUACUUUGGACUUAAGAGCAAAAGCUUUCUUUACAAGCUAUUUCUCAAGAAAUCAGUAAGGCUUCCCUUAGAAAUGGCCUCCACUGGAUGACAUAUUUGAAAUAAAAAGUCACAGUAACUUGGACUGUGAGUUCAUUUCCCUUAAAAAUUCAAUAGAAGUAGGGUCAUUGCUAGCCUAGUGGUUAAUUGAAUUGCAGAUAAUCAAGAAAAACUUAAAAGCAGGGUUCCCGUUGUGGCUCAGAGGGUUAAGGACAUUGUCUCGGUAAGGAUGCAGGUUCGAUCCCUGGCCUCACUCAGUCGACUGAGGAUCCAGCAUUGCCACAAGCUGCAGUGUAGGUUGCAAAUGCAGCUCAUACCCACUGUUGCCAUGGCACAGGCUGUAGCCACAGCUCCAAUUUGACCCCUACCUGGGAACUUCCAUAUGCUGAGGUACAGCUGUAAAAAGGAAAAAGAAAGAAAGAAAGAAACCCUCAAAGCAACCACAACUGUACGUAUUGGGAAGUGACAUUGCAAUCAUCUUCCCAACCUUUUUUCACAGUUGGUCUUUUUAGGGCCUCACCUGCGGCAUAUGGAGUUUCCCAGGUUAGGGGUCUAAUCGGAGCUGUAGCUGCCGGCCUAUGCCACAGCCACAGCCACAGCAACACCAGAUCCUUAACGCACUGAGUGAAGCCAAGGAGUGAACCCACAAUCUCCUGGUUCCUAGUCGGAUUUGUUUCCACUGAACCACGAAGGGAACUCCUUCCCAACUUUUAAACACUGUAGCACACCUACUCUUUUAAAAUGACUAAAUGCUAGUUUCUCUCAUGAGCUGCCACACAGCUGGGGGUGCAGAUACAAUGACUCCAAUUUAAUUUUCUUCUGGGCAAAGUUAUGAGUUGAUACAGGAAGAGGAAUGAGACAUUUUCUUCCUGACAGCAACUUGAGGGGACAUUCAAUUUACUGGCUCCCACAACUCUACCAAGGAAAUAUUUCUUUGGCUAUUCCCCUCAAAUUAGGUUGGAUAUUAAACCUGCAGUAUGGCUGCAGAUGUUUCCUAGGUAUUAGAUAUCCAUUUCGAGUGUGUUGACAAGUGAGAUAAGUUAAUUUUCCUCAAGUUAUCACUCCUGUGUCUAUAUGCCUGACUUCUCACUAUCUUUAGAAAAUUCUUCCUGGAAUUCCUGUUGUCGCUCAGCAGGUUAAGAAACCAACACAGUGUCCAUGAGGAUUCAGGUUCCAUCUCUGCCCCCGCUUAGUGGGUUAAGGAUCCAGCAUUACCGCAAGCUGGAGUGUAGGUCACAGAUGCAGCUCAGAUUGGACAUUGCUGUGGUUGUGACGUAGGCUGCAGCUGCAUCUCCAUUUCAACUCCUAGUCUGGGAAAAUCCAUAUACCAAAGGUGCAGCUAUAAAAGAAAAAGAAAACUCUUCCUGAUUCUCCACACCCUAAUUACAUGGUUUCCUGCCUAGAAUUCAAGCAACAAUGCCCACUCCUCCAAAAUCCAACACUAUCAGUACCUCCCUUGAAUUUUGGUUGUCUGUGUCUUUGUCACAGCCCUUACUAGACUAUACAUUUCUUGAACUAAGCCUUUGUUAUCUCAACCUUUGUUCUCUGCGGCUCCCUGCUCAUGGCAGGUAGGAAUCCAGGAAAUGCACAUAGAAUUGAAUUCUUCUACCUCAAACCCAAAGCACUUUAUGUACCAGAAAAAUGACAGGUUGGAGGUGGGGGAGAAUGCAUUCCUUUGAAGUCUUCAGAAAAAAAUAGAUAUUACCCAUGAUAUAGUAUGCCUCAAAUUAUGGAUCUCAGGUUCCCAAGCUUUUAAUACAAGCCAUAAAUUUAGGCAUCAAAUUGCUCUUGCUACAAAUGGAAAGAGUGGAUGGAGUUUGGGUUGGCUGCUGAUGAUACGGGUUGUUUUUCGAUGGAGAAAUCUGUCUAUCAAGAGAUUCAGAGUGCUGUGUGUUGCAUAAUCAUCACCACUCAGUACAGGGCCGUCAGCGGUCUUAUUUUAAGCAUGUUUUCCUGAAAAUUAUCCCUGGCCAUUUGCCUUGAAUAGCUAUAUUUCCAAAACUAAGAUAUUUAUUGAAAAAAAGUAAAGACAAAAGCAAGAAGGCAUGAAUACUAAUGAAAGCCAGCUCACUGGCAAAGAUUUGCAGAGCAGCCAGAGUAACACCCUUGGUUUUGUAGGAAUCCUGUCUCCGUCCAUGGACCUUGGAAUGACCUCUGCUAUGAAGUCAAAUUUGCAGCUAAGGGAGUUCCCAUUGUGGCCUAGCAGGUUGAGAACCCAACAUUGUCUCUGUGAGGAUGCAGGUUUAAUCCCUGGCUUCGCUCAGUGGGUUAGGGAUGUGGCAUUGCUGCAAACUGUGGUGCAGGUCACAGGAGUGGCUCAGAUCCUGCAUUGCCAUGGCUGUGGUGUAGGCCUGCAGCUGCAGCUCCAAUUCAACCCUUACCCCUAGAACUUCCACAUGCCACAGGUGCAGCCAUGAAAAGAGAAAAAAUUGAAUCAAUAGGGUUCUAUGCUACAGUCAACUGAUAAACCAGCAUGUCCUUUAAUUACUUUGAUGUUAUAAAUUAAACAUGUGCUUAAUAAAAGACUUACAAAUAUAUGAAAUAUCUACUAAAAUGUUUAGAAAUGGGAGUUCCCGUCACAGCACAGUGGUUAAUGAAUUCGACUAGGAACCACGAGGUUGCGGGUUCAAUCCCUAGCCUUGCUCGGUGGGUUAAGGAUCAGGCGUUGCCGUGAGCUGUGGUGUAGGUUGCAGACGUGGCUUGGGUCCCACAUUGCUGCGGCUGUGGCGCAGGCCAGUGGCUACAGCUCCGAUUAGACCCCUAGCCUGGGAACCUCCAUAUGCCAUGGGAGUGGCCCUAGAAAAGGCCAAAAAAAAAAAAAAAAA
RNAcentral lists this long non-coding RNA (4950 nucleotides) under Sus scrofa (pig). Its description in RNAcentral is "lncRNA (ENSSSCG00065004469.1)". The record is from RNAcentral. Lineage: Eukaryota; Metazoa; Chordata; Mammalia; Artiodactyla; Suidae.